UACAGAGGUCUCAAGCGUUGUUCGGAUUCAUUGGGCGUAAAGAGCGUGUAGGCGGCCUUUUAAGUCCUGCGUGAAAUCCUGCGGCUCAACCGCAGACGGUCGUGGGAAACUGGAAGGCUAGAGUGCGGGAGAGGAGAGUGGAAUUCCCGGUGUAGCGGUGAAAUGCGCAGAUAUCGGGAAGAACACCCGUGGCGAAGGCGGCUCUCUGGAACGCAACUGACGCUGAGACGCGAAAGCGUGGGGAGCAAACAGG
This 253-nucleotide ribosomal RNA is filed under the name uncultured bacterium. RNAcentral describes it as "partial 16S ribosomal RNA". It matches the Rfam family "Bacterial small subunit ribosomal RNA", at positions 524 to 776 of the family's 1533-position model. The record is from RNAcentral.